AGCGAACGCUGGCGGCAGGCCUAACACAUGCAAGUCGAACGAACCUUUCGGGGUUAGUGGCGGACGGGUGAGUAACACGUGGGAACGUGCCUUUAGGUUCGGAAUAACUCAGGGAAACUUGUGCUAAUACCGAAUGUGCCCUUCGGGGGAAAGAUUAAUCGCCUUUAGAGCGGCCCGCGUCUGAUUAGCUAGUUGGUUGAGGUAAUGGCUCACCAAGGCGACGAUCAGUAGCUGGUCUGAGAGGAUGAUCAGCCACAUUGGGACUGCGACACGGCCCAAACUCCUACGGGAGGCAGCAGUGGGGAAUCUUGCGCAAUGGGCGAAAGCCUGACGCAGCCAUGCCGCGUGAAUGAUGAAGGUCUUAGGAUUGUAAAAUUCUUUCACCGGGGACGAUAAUGACGGUACCCGGAGAAGAAGCCCCGGCUAACUUCGUG
This 434-nucleotide ribosomal RNA is filed under the name uncultured bacterium. Its description in RNAcentral is "partial 16S ribosomal RNA". It matches the Rfam family "Bacterial small subunit ribosomal RNA", at positions 29 to 507 of the family's 1533-position model. The record is from RNAcentral.